CCAGACUCCUACGGGAGGCAGCAGUGGGGGAUAUUGCACAAUGGGGGGAACCCUGAUGCAGCGACGCCGCGUGGGUGAAGGAGUAUUUCGGUAUGUAAAGCCCUAUCGGCAGGGAAGAAAUUGGACGGUACCUGACUAAGAAGCCCCGGCUAACUACGUGCCAGCAGCCGCGGUAAUACGUAGGGGGCAAGCGUUAUCCGGAAUCACUGGGUGUAAAGGGAGCGUAGACGGCUGUGCAAGCCUGAAGUGAAAGGCGGGGGCGCAACCCCUGGACUGCUUUGGGAACUGUACGGCUGGAGUGCAGGAGAGGUAAGUGGAAUUCCUAGUGUAGCGGUGAAAUGCGUAGAUAUUAGGAGGAACACCAGUGGCGAAGGCGGCUUACUGGACUGUAACUGACGUUGAGGCUCGAAAGCGUGGGGAGCAAACAGGAUUAGAUACCCGAGUAAA
Molecule: ribosomal RNA, 447 nt
Filed under: uncultured bacterium
Lineage: Bacteria
Description: partial 16S ribosomal RNA
Rfam family: Bacterial small subunit ribosomal RNA
Source: RNAcentral